RNAcentral lists this unclassified non-coding RNA (685 nucleotides) under uncultured Prochlorococcus sp. Its description in RNAcentral is "partial may contain 16S ribosomal RNA, 16S-23S ribosomal RNA intergenic spacer, and 23S ribosomal RNA". The stretch from base 1 to 97 matches the Rfam family "Bacterial small subunit ribosomal RNA", at positions 1437 to 1533 of the family's 1533-position model. Lineage: Bacteria; Bacillati; Cyanobacteriota; Cyanophyceae; Synechococcales; Prochlorococcaceae. The record is from RNAcentral.
ACCCUUGUGGAGGAGGACGCCGAAGGUGGGGCUAAUGACUGGGGUGAAGUCGUAACAAGGUAGCCGUACCGGAAGGUGCGGCUGGAUCACCUCCUAACAGGGAGACAACAAAAUGUUUAAUAUUAUUAUUUUGUCACCUUAGGUCGAUCGGUAUCUCACGUUCUUAAUUUAUUAAGAAUUUUAUUUCCUAAGUUUUUCUAGGUCACACCCAUUAUUUUCCUGGGCCAUUAGCUCAGGUGGUUAGAGCGCACCCCUGAUAAGGGUGAGGUCCCUGGUUCAAGUCCAGGAUGGCCCAUAUCUCUAUGUUGGGGGUAUAGCUCAGUUGGUAGAGCGCCUGCUUUGCAAGCAGGAUGUCAGCGGUUCGAGUCCGCUUACCUCCACUGAUUACCACCUCUUCCAUAAUCUGUAGAAGGGAAAAUUUUUUUGAGUUGUGAUCAUUAUUCUGAACGAAUCUAGCUUCCUAAUGAAACCAUUAAGAUGCUGGACUCAUUGAAUUAAUUUCAUUGUUUUCAGAGAACCUUGACAACUGCAUAGAUUAUUUUAAAGACAAUAAGCAUCUUUAAUGAUGCAGAUUUAUUAUUUGUGCAAAUGCAUUAAUAACAAUUCUAUUAAGCUGAUGCUUCAAUUUUGAAGUUAUUGGUCAAGCUACAAAGGGCUCACGGAGGAUACCUAGGCACACAGAGGC